RNAcentral lists this transfer RNA (66 nucleotides) under Maurya qinlingensis. Its description in RNAcentral is "tRNA-Leu". Lineage: Eukaryota; Metazoa; Arthropoda; Insecta; Hemiptera; Membracidae. RNAcentral also lists the same sequence under 1 other name. The record is from RNAcentral.
GCUAGUUUGGCAGAAAUAAUGUAUUAAAUUUAGGUUUUAAUUAUAUGUAUAUAUACAUAUCUAGUA